Molecule: long non-coding RNA, 1308 nt
Organism: Denticeps clupeoides (denticle herring)
Lineage: Eukaryota; Metazoa; Chordata; Actinopteri; Clupeiformes; Denticipitidae
Source: Ensembl
GCGUUCUUGAUGGCGCACCAGCGGCUCGGUUGCUGGCGCUGUAGAUGCCGGGGAGAAGAGGAUGUUUGUUUGGAGCACGCAGCCAGGAUACUGUAGAGCCACCAUGCCCGGAAUUCAAAGGUCCUGGCGGAUUAGAGCUGCUAUGCUCUGAUUGCUCCCACCUGUCUGCGGAGUUAACCUCCUGCUCCCGCUCGGCGCACUCAGCCGUGCAGAGCCGUCGCCAGGAUUCCAGUGGCUCGUGUCAUCCACGGAUGGCCAGCAGUGUUUUGGUUGUACUGCCGCCGCGGCACUGUCAGCAGAGCUGCCACCCUCGCCACCAGCAGAUGACACCUCAACACACAACACUGACCAGCUCAGUGCAGCCCUGCCACACUCAGUCUGGGCACAGGGAGGCAUUGGUGUGUUGGCCUCACAGGAGUCAGAACCCCAGGAGAAGAAGGGGUGAAGAACGGUAUCUGUUCUGUGUGGCGCUCCAUUGAGAAGGAGCCCCGGGGCUUUUGUGAGGUCAGCACUGAGAGAGGCGACGGUGACAGUGGCACACCGCUCUCCCCGAGCACCGGCACACACCGCUUCUCACCAACUCUUUCACCACACACACACCAGCACAGAACUGACCGAUGGAAAAAUGUGUAGCAUAAAGGUUUAAUUCAGUCUGAAUUUCAAUUAUAUUGGCAAUAAGAUUUUUUAUCAUGACAUUUUAUCAAUAUUAUCAUAUAGACCUAUUUGUUUAUUGGCAGUAUGUUUAAUAAUUCAGUUUUAGUGUACAUAUCAGUAUAUUUGUCCAUUUUGUACAAUGUUGUUAAUUAAUUAUUACAGUAUUAAUCAAAACAUAAUAAUUACAAAUUGUAUUAAUUAGUAGUAAUUCAGCCGGUGGUACAGAACAUAAAUGUGAUUUUAAAUUUAUAUUUAACGGACAUGCAAUUAUAAUUAUUUCUAUAUUUAUAAAACAUUAAUAAAAAGGUCAGUGAAUCAUAUAAGUUAAAUCUGUAAUGGUCAAUGCAAUUCCACAGUAAAACCUGUGAAUAACAGGCACGGUUAUGAAAUCAGCAGAUCCCAUUUUUGAAGGUAUAAUCAUUUCUAUCUGAUAAUGCUGCCUCAUUUCUCCUGCGCCGCGCGCCACGUCUUAAAGAGGUGACAAUCUUGUUAAGAGGAUUUGGAAGCUAAUGUGUCUCUCUCAGCCGGCCAUCCAGAUUUUAUUUAUUUUUUAAUAAUCAAAGGAAGGGAUCUUGAUCGAGGUGUGGUGGGUAUUAAAAGCACUCAUUUUUUGAGGGUGGGUUUAUCUAUAAUCAAUUCUUUCCCCAGGGACAC